GGGGCCGCAAUGGUCUCGACGGGGGUUAUGAACCUCGCUAAGCACGCGGAGUGCGCCGCAAUCUCCUUAAUCGAGCGGCACUAAAUCUUAAACGCUAACGAUAGAAAUUUAGCAGUAGCUGCCUAAGGCGGCUUCCGUCCUCCCGGAGAGUACCGCGGCUUCGGUUUGGGCGUCAAUCAGCGGUCAACGUAUUAAGUGAGAGCCUUGCAGUUUAAUACGUAUCAAAGGGCUACCGAGCGCCGGGUUUGUUGUUUGUGCCGGCGUGAGGGAAUUUUAAACGAAUAACUAAGCGUGUAGAAAUGUGCGGGAAUUAGUUUUCGGACGCGAGUUCGAUUCUCGCCGGCUCCAGUC
This 351-nucleotide transfer-messenger RNA is filed under the name Oscillospiraceae bacterium. It matches the Rfam family "transfer-messenger RNA". From Rfam's summary of the family: Bacterial tmRNA, also known as 10Sa RNA or SsrA, is named for its dual tRNA and mRNA-like properties. Its role is to liberate the mRNA from a stalled ribosome. Lineage: Bacteria; Bacillati; Bacillota; Clostridia; Eubacteriales; Oscillospiraceae. The record is from RNAcentral.